RNAcentral lists this microRNA (22 nucleotides) under Mus musculus (house mouse). RNAcentral's name for it is "mmu-miR-3569-3p". Lineage: Eukaryota; Metazoa; Chordata; Mammalia; Rodentia; Muridae. The record is from miRBase by way of RNAcentral.
UCAGUCUGCGCUCCUCUCCAGC